CAGGGAAUCAUUUUUGGGGGGCCGAAAGUUUUUAAAUAUUCAUAAAAUUUGAACAGACAGAACUUUGAAAUUAAAUUAGUCAAAUGCACAAAAAGUUCAUUUACACUCCAUAUACUCGCACGAGGACUUACACACUCCAUUGUGUGCGGUCCGGCCAAGCCUUGAAAGUUAGAAUAAACUACUAAUUAAUGCAGGAGUAACGUAUAUUUGUCCGCAUGUGUGAGACUGUAGCCACGUAAGCCCGCCUGUUUUAUAGUUGGCAAUCUAUUGCGAUUUGUUUGUAAAUUAUGGUUUUUGCCCUUUUCGCUCUGCUCUUUCCGCAUCGGCCGCAAUAUGCGAAAGCGGAAUUGAAGUUUUAUGCUAAUUUCCAGCUUCAUACAUACCUCUCUCGCUGAGCCUAGGACCUUAUCUGGUUGUCGGAGUCCUGUCAACACAAGGCAUUACAAGGCAAUUACGAAUUUGUUUAUGGCACUAUAUCUCCCCGUCGACUUGCCACUUGGCCACACCUCCAUCCAUCUUCCAGAGCGUGCCCAG
RNAcentral lists this long non-coding RNA (534 nucleotides) under Drosophila guanche. Lineage: Eukaryota; Metazoa; Arthropoda; Insecta; Diptera; Drosophilidae. The record is from RNAcentral.